UAAAUACUCCCUCCGUCCGAAAAUACUUGUCAUAAGAAUAGAUGUUUCUGGAUGUAUUUUAGUUCUAGAUACAUUCUUUUUAUCCAUUUGUGCGAUAAAUAAUUCCAUACGAAGGGAGUAUUUA
Non-coding RNA from Hordeum vulgare subsp. vulgare (domesticated barley), 124 nucleotides. The record is from Rfam. Lineage: Eukaryota; Viridiplantae; Streptophyta; Magnoliopsida; Poales; Poaceae.